AUCCUCAGGUUCAUAAGUGUGAUGAUUGGGUGUUCAUGCUCCAUGCAUGACAUGUGCCUCCUCUGAACCUUGUUACGAUUCUCAGCACAUUACCCAUCUGACG
This 103-nucleotide small nucleolar RNA is filed under the name Cavia porcellus (domestic guinea pig). Its description in RNAcentral is "Small nucleolar RNA U13". It matches the Rfam family "Small nucleolar RNA U13". Lineage: Eukaryota; Metazoa; Chordata; Mammalia; Rodentia; Caviidae. The record is from Rfam by way of RNAcentral.